Molecule: ribosomal RNA, 176 nt
Filed under: uncultured Corynebacterium sp.
Lineage: Bacteria; Bacillati; Actinomycetota; Actinomycetes; Mycobacteriales; Corynebacteriaceae
Description: partial 16S ribosomal RNA
Rfam family: Bacterial small subunit ribosomal RNA
Source: RNAcentral
CCUACGGAGGCAGCAGUGGGGAAUAUUGCACAAUGGGCGCAAGCCUGAUGCAGCCAUGCCGCGUGUAUGAAGAAGGCCUUCGGGUUGUAAACUCCUUUCGACAGGGACGAAGCGUAAGUGACGGUACCUGUAUAAGAAGCACCGGCUAACUACGUGCCAGCAGCCCGCGGUAAUAA